This 959-nucleotide unclassified non-coding RNA is filed under the name Bombus terrestris (buff-tailed bumblebee). RNAcentral's name for it is "misc RNA ENSBTSG00005019928.1". The record is from RNAcentral. Lineage: Eukaryota; Metazoa; Arthropoda; Insecta; Hymenoptera; Apidae.
GUUCCGAGAUAUCAAUCCGGGAAAAUAAAGUUUCACUUAGUUGCCAACCUGAUACCAUCGAUUAAAACAUAACACGUGUUCGACAGUUUUGAAAAUUUCCUAUUCACAUUCUUACGUCUUUGCGUUCUCUCAACUUUCUUAAGAAACGUUGCCAGAAGAAUCGUUCUCCGAAAGAUUCGCGAAAUUCGGAAAGAUCCGAAAAAUACUUCGAGACAUCAAAUUUCAAAAUGACCGAUUCAUUUACAAGCCUGAGAGAUCGAAAGGCGAGUUCUACGUUGAAAGAUUCGAAGAUUUGAGCGGCAGAACUGCGGCAGGUGCGAGUACAGUUGUCACGGUCACUCGACGAUGCGUGCAACUGCACAAGGUGCACCUUGACCCAGCGAAUCCGGCUUCGGUGGCGGCUUGCAUUCGCGUGCGAAUCGAGAUUAAGCAGCUAAUCAGCCUGACCGACCUUAGUCGUGGUUCGCAAAAUCACGCUGAUUCGAACGCUUGUCUUGGAAAGAUUUUACGUGUACAGGGUGAUUCAUAACUACUUGUGAGGAUGAUUCUGGCGCUUGUGAAAGCUUCCCAUUCGCGAUCCCAUUUUCUCCGGGGAAAUUUUACGUACAUAAAGGGGUGGAGAAAAUAAAUAUAUAACUAAACGAAAUUUUAGCGGAUAACGAGUCGAAGAAAUUUUAAACAACUCUUUGUUAAAUUUAGAAUUUUAUCGCCUAUUGCCUACCAUAUUAGGAUUAAGCUAAAUUUGCGUAUUGAUGAGAUAGAUAGAUAGAUGGUUGUUUAUUUUUGCGUAAAGAAUUAAGUCUUGCCUGAUCAAAUGUGAUGCAACAGAGCAUCUUUAACGUUUUUCAAGGUUCGUCGAUAUUUUUGCAGACAUUUCAGGUGAUCUCAUUUAUUUAUCUUAUAUAUUUCUACCUGAAACUUGGAAGUGAAACUUGAAAAUCUCCGAGUUUGUCGAAUGA